Molecule: unclassified non-coding RNA, 1995 nt
Filed under: Leishmania donovani
Lineage: Eukaryota; Euglenozoa; Kinetoplastea; Trypanosomatida; Trypanosomatidae
Description: gene:LdHU3.34.3670(CDS-product:hypothetical_prote in_conserved)
Source: RNAcentral
GGAGUUUCUUCAGCGCCGCACUGAGCUUCGUCUUUGUUUCUAUUGGUGCCCCCCCCCCCGCCCGCCGUUGUGCUUCCCUCGUCCGCGUGCGCCAGAGCUACCAGAGCGGUAAGGUAGAUAAAAAAAGAACAGAAGAAAAAAAAGCGCGCACGAGAGGCAAGCACGCAUACGCACACACAUCGCAAAACAACAAGAAAAAGCAAAUCAGGGUGGCACAAACCUCUAUUCUGCGCACCUCCUCCGCGCCUUUCUUCUCGAUUUUUUUUUUGCGGCUUUUGCACCGCACCGCGGCCGCCUCUCAGGCACUGCUGCCGUUCUUCUGUUGUUGUGUUUUGUUUUGCCUCUUCACAGCUCACUCACUUUACUUCGCGUGUGCGUGCGUGCGUGCGAAACCGAGCAGCAUCUCUAUCUCGUCGUUGCUGUUGUGUGUGCGUGUGUGAGCAACAACACGAGAAGAGACUCUCACAAGCGCGUACACGACACAGUAGCCCCCCUUCUCCCUCCCUCUCCCUCUCCCUCUCCCUCUCCCUCUCACCCUACUCCCUCUUCUGUUUUUUUUUCUUCUUGUAUUUCUUCCGCCCUGUUUUGGUUCUACAUCUCCUUCGCUCGUUUCUUUCAACGCGUAUACGCACCCGCACAUACACUUUUGUCUGAUUCGUGCUCGCGCUGCGUGCACUGACGCAAUCUUUCGCCCACAGAACCCCUCUCCUCCUCAUUCCAGCGCAAUUCAGCAUAGGCUCAUUCCGUCAUCGCUGUCCCCAACAAGAAAAUGUCGUUCCGAAUCGAGAAGCAGCCGGCGAGGAACUUCGCCUUCGCCACCCCCGGCGAGUCCUAUCUCAUUCUUGCGUCGAGCGCCUCUCUGCGCAAGCACCUCACGGACAGCUACUGGUGCGAGGCGAUGGAGCAGGUGUGCGCUGGCAAGCUCGAGGGCAUCGCGGUACGCUACACUGGCGAGAACCUUGUAAUGGUUCAGUUCUGCCCCACCAACCUCUCCCCCGCCGGCUACCGUUAUCCCCUCUUUAUGUCCAUCCCGAUCGAGUUUCUGGUGCCGCUGGCGGAGAGCACCUUCAAUAUCCCGCCGCCAUCUGAUCUGCACGGCAGCUUUGGCACGGCAACAACAAGUAGCUUCCACUCCAGAUCCAGUAGCGAAGGCCGCUCCACGUCAAACGGAGCGACAAUGCCGAGGUUGUGUGUGGUGUGCGGUCGGUUCAACGUUCCCGGCAUGAUUCACCGCUUACACGGUUGGAAAUGUAAGGAGUGCAAGGGGACGAAGUCCGAUAAUCGUCUGCGGCAGGAGGCGCAGAAGCUGCGGAAGCGCAUGAAGGCACACGCAUAGCGGGUGCCGCUUUUGUAAUGUUGUCUACUUGAAUCCACACCAUCUUGCUGCUCGCCUCCUCUGCUCCGCACGCUGCUCCCCCGCCUCGCGCUCUCUGUCUAUAUCUCCCCAUCUUUUUUUUUUUGUGAAGCAUGCCGCCUUUGGUGGUUUUGUUGCCACUUUAACAACCCACUUGCCGUUCCAGAAUGCUUAAUUGCGUAUGCACCGGUGUGUGUUGGGAGCGUGUGUACACGCACUGUUUUGCCCCUGCCAGUCCACUCCUGACGCACGUUGAUGUCUUUGCUGGCGCGUGGUUGAAUGCGCUAGUUCAUGUUCCUUUUUCCGCGUUUUUUUUUCCGCUCGCCCUCUCGCUCAUUCCGUGUGUGCCUCGAGGGUGCUCAGUCGCGCAUAUGCGGUUGAAGAUGUGUUCUCUCAACGCGCGUUCAUGUCUGUCUGCGUUGGCGAACAAAGAGCGUAUGAUGGUGGCGCGCGCGCUUCUUUGCGGAGCGCUUCGUUGUUUGUGUUUUUUUUUGGUGUCUGGGGCGUUGGGUUGAUGAUUAAGCGUUUCACUGUACGGUAUACGCCGCCGGCUCGAGGAUUGUUCUACGCGUGCUUGUGCUUUAGUGCACACCCACAACCUAGGCCCUCACGCUCGUGUGAGUGCGUGAGGCAACAACAAC